AACCUUAUGGACCUGCGGGCGUAUACCUGCGGAAGGAUCAUUACCGAGUUUACAACUCCCAAACCCCUGUGAACAUACCUAUAUGUUGCCUCGGCGGAUCAGCCCGCGCCCCGUAAAACGGGACGGCCCGCCGCAGGAUCCACAAACUCUGUUUUUAUUGUAACUUCUGAGUAACAAAACAAAUAAAUCAAAACUUUUAACAACGGAUCU
Molecule: unclassified non-coding RNA, 210 nt
Filed under: soil metagenome
Description: partial contains 5.8S ribosomal RNA, internal transcribed spacer 2, and large subunit ribosomal RNA
Source: RNAcentral